RNAcentral lists this ribosomal RNA (584 nucleotides) under uncultured bacterium. RNAcentral describes it as "partial 16S ribosomal RNA". It matches the Rfam family "Bacterial small subunit ribosomal RNA", at positions 355 to 932 of the family's 1533-position model. The record is from RNAcentral.
UGGGGAAUAUUGCACAAUGGGCGCAAGCCUGAUGCAGCCAUGCCGCGUGUGUGAAGAAGGCCUUCGGGUUGUAAAGCACUUUCAGCGAGGAGGAAGGUGGUGAGCUUAAUACGCUCAUCAAUUGACGUUACUCGCGGAAGAAGCACCGGCUAACUCCGUGCCAGCAGCCGCGGUAAUACGGAGGGUGCAAGCGUUAAUCGGAAUUACUGGGCGUAAAGCGCACGCAGGCGGUUUGUUAAGUCAGAUGUGAAAUCCCCGGGCUCAACCUGGGAACUGCAUUUGAAACUGGCAAGCUAGAGUCUCGUAGAGGGGGGUAGAAUUCCAGGUGUAGCGGUGAAAUGCGUAGAGAUCUGGAGGAAUACCGGUGGCGAAGGCGGCCCCCUGGACGAAGACUGACGCUCAGGUGCGAAAGCGUGGGGAGCAAAACAGGAUUAGAUACCCUGGUAGUCCACGCUGUAAAACGAUGUCGAUUUUGGAGGUUGUGCCCUUGAGGCGUGGCUUCCGGAGCUAACGCGUUAAAUCGACCGCCUGGGGAGUACGGCCGCAAGGUUAAAAACUCAAAUGAAUUGACGGGGUCAUAGCUG